AGAACGAACGCUGGCGGCACGCCUAACACAUGCAAGUCGAGCGCCCAGCAAUGGGAGCGGCGGACGGGUGAGUAACACGUGGGAAUAUGCCUUUCGGUACGGAACAACUCAGGGAAACUUGAGCUAAUGCCGUAUACGCCCUUACGGGGAAAGAUUUAUCGCCGAAAGAUUAGCCCGCGUCUGAUUAGCUAGUUGGUGAGGUAAUGGCUCACCAAGGCUUCGAUCAGUAGCUGGUUUGAGAGAACGACCAGCCACACUGGGACUGAGACACGGCCCAGACUCCUACGGGAGGCAGCAGUGGGGAAUCUUGGACAAUGGGGGAAACCCUGAUCCAGCGAUGCCGCGUGAGUGAUGAAGGCCUUCGGGUUGUAAAACUCUUUCGACGGGGACGAUAAUGACGGUACCCGUAGAAGAAGCUCCGGCUAACUUCGUGCCAGCAGCCGC
RNAcentral lists this ribosomal RNA (444 nucleotides) under uncultured bacterium. RNAcentral describes it as "SSU rRNA". It matches the Rfam family "Bacterial small subunit ribosomal RNA", at positions 26 to 518 of the family's 1533-position model. The record is from RNAcentral.